This 356-nucleotide long non-coding RNA is filed under the name Cicer arietinum (chickpea). Its description in RNAcentral is "long non-coding RNA (CARI_LNC000756)". Lineage: Eukaryota; Viridiplantae; Streptophyta; Magnoliopsida; Fabales; Fabaceae. The record is from RNAcentral.
UCUAUCAAUUACGAAGAAAAUUGAAAUCUAAAUUCACACUCUAUCAAUAUAAGAUGAGAAUGAUGAGAAUCAAAACUUUAUUAUUUCACAUAUUCAAUCUGCUUACAUAUACAUUGUCUUUAAUAGUUUUUAAUAAACUAAACUUUAUUCUAACUAACUUGAUUAACUAAGUGUCUCUAACUGACUAAUUUUGAAUUACCUCAUAUUUCUCAAGAGCACUCAACUAUCAUUUUUUAUUAUUUGUUUGGUAAGUUAUGCCUUAUCCCCUUUGGAGAUAAGUAUUUCUUUUUCAAGCAUUCUCUCUUAUUUAAUUAUAUUAUUUUUUAAAUAUAUUUUUGAUAUUAGACUUAACUUAU